Molecule: ribosomal RNA, 459 nt
Filed under: uncultured bacterium
Lineage: Bacteria
Description: partial 16S ribosomal RNA
Rfam family: Bacterial small subunit ribosomal RNA
Source: RNAcentral
CCUACGGGAGGCAGCAGUGAGGAAUAUUGGUCAAUGGGCGGGAGCCUGAACCAGCCAAGCCGCGUGAGGGAAGAAGGUACAGCGUAUCGUAAACCUCUUUUGUCAGGGAACAAAGGCGGGGACUAGUCCCCGGAUGAGGGUACCUGAAGAAAAAGCAUCGGCUAACUCCGUGCCAGCAGCGGCGGUAAUACGGAGGAUGCGAGCGUUAUCCGGAUUUAUGGGGUUUAACGGGUGCGCAGGCGGCCUGUUAAGUCAGCGGGAAAACCCCGGGGCCAAACCCCGGCGAGCCGUUGAAACUGGGGGGCUGGAGUUGGAGAGAGGUACGCGGAAUGCGCGGUGUAGCGGUGAAAUGCUUAGAUAUCGCGCAGAACCCCGAUUGCGAAGGCAGCGUACCGGCUCCACACUGACGCUGAGGCACGAAAGCGUGGGUAUCGAACAGGAUUAGAUACCCGUGUAGUC